RNAcentral lists this ribosomal RNA (450 nucleotides) under uncultured organism. RNAcentral describes it as "partial 16S ribosomal RNA". It matches the Rfam family "Bacterial small subunit ribosomal RNA", at positions 333 to 799 of the family's 1533-position model. The record is from RNAcentral.
ACACUCCUGCGGGAGGCAGCAGUGGGGAAUAUUAGACAAUGGGCGCAAGCCUGAUCCAGCCAUGCCGCGUGAGUGAUGAAGGCCCUAGGGUUGUAAAGCUCUUUCACCGGUGAAGAUAAUGACGGUAACCGGAGAAGAAGCCCCGGCUAACUUCGUGCCAGCAGCCGCGGUAAUACGAAGGGGGCUAGCGUUGUUCGGAUUUACUGGGCGUAAAGCGCACGUAGGCGGACUAUUAAGUCAGGGGUGAAAUCCCGGGGCUCAACCCCGGAACUGCCUUUGAUACUGGUAGUCUUGAGUUCGAGAGAGGUGAGUGGAAUUCCGAGUGUAGAGGUGAAAUUCGUAGAUAUUCGGAGGAACACCAGUGGCGAAGGCGGCUCACUGGCUCGAUACUGACGCUGAGGUGCGAAAGCGUGGGGAGCAAACAGGAUUAGAAACCCUUGUAGUCCCAUG